GAAACCGCUGAGAAUGAAGCGGAUAGAGUCGACGAAACUUAAUCAGUAUUCAGCCGAUACGCUCGAACGGUGGCGUGUAUGUGACGUGCAUAUUUGCGCUCUAAAGGUUCAAAAUUGUGCACGUUUAACGUAUACGUUUCUCUACUGUUUGGUGUUAAUAUCGGUGCAUUUAUUGGUUGUAUGCGUUGAGAGCUUCGUAGUGUAUUGCGCAUGAGACUACUCGUAUUUAGAGGCUUGUCGAGUUUUACCACUUGACAAGAUACCUAAUAUGGGAAAGUUAGCGUGUCGCCUAUGAAGUUUGCGCUUUUUUCGCGCGCAACUGAACGCAUUUUUUUCUUGUUUACGCAAGAGGAGAUUGUGUUCAAUGCGUCUGUAUCAUUUAUGGGCGUAUUUUGACUGCAUGUCGGUCUAUGUGUCGUUAUGGCGUCGCCUCGUGUGGCGUUGCGCGAUACAUAGUCGCGUGCGUUUUGAUACGUUUUUCGUUGGUGAUACAGUGCUUUUGUUGAGUUGCGUGUCUCGACGUGAACGUCGAUCACCUAUCCGACCCGUCUUGAAACACGGACCAAGGAGUCUAGCGUAUACGCGAGUCAUUGGGUGUGCGAAUGCCUAAAGGCGUAAUGAAAGUAAAUGUUAUCGUUUUUUUUUUCCAAAAGAACGACGGUAACAGUUAUGCGAUUUGCAAUGUGUUUUCUUGAUUUUUUCUCGUUCUUAAUUCAUUGCAAAGCAGCAUAGUCCCGUCUACGUUACAUGUAAUGAGGCGGAGAAUGAGCGUAUGCGCUGGGACCCGAAAGAUGGUGAACUAUGCCUGAGCAGGACGAAGCCAGAGGAAACUCUGGUGGAGGUCCGAAGCGGUUCUGACGUGCAAAUCGA
RNAcentral lists this ribosomal RNA (870 nucleotides) under Spirocamallanus inopinatus. Its description in RNAcentral is "partial large subunit ribosomal RNA". It matches the Rfam family "Eukaryotic large subunit ribosomal RNA", at positions 401 to 901 of the family's 3401-position model. Lineage: Eukaryota; Metazoa; Nematoda; Chromadorea; Rhabditida; Camallanidae. The record is from RNAcentral.